CCUACGGGAGGCAGCAGUGAGGAAUAUUGGUCAAUGGGCGCGAGCCUGAACCAGCCAAGUAGCGUGAAGGAUGACUGCCCUACGGGCUGUAAACUUCUUUUAUAAAGGAAUAAAGUGAGGCACGUGUGCCUUUUUGUAUGUACUUUAUGAAUAAGGAUAGGCUAACUCCGGGCCAGCAGCCGCGGUAAUACGGAGGAUACGAGCGUUAUCCGGAUUGAUUGGGUUGAAAGGAGGGCUGGAUGGGUUGUUAAGUUAGUUGUGAAAGUUUGCGGCUCAACCGUAAAAUUGCAAUUGAUACUGGCAGUCCUGAGUACAAUGAAGGUAGGCGGAAUUCGUGGUGGAGCGGUGGAAUGCUU
Molecule: ribosomal RNA, 356 nt
Filed under: uncultured bacterium
Lineage: Bacteria
Description: partial 16S ribosomal RNA
Rfam family: Bacterial small subunit ribosomal RNA
Source: RNAcentral